GCACAAGACUGUAUACAUAAUAAAU
This 25-nucleotide non-coding RNA is filed under the name Cricetulus griseus (Chinese hamster). Lineage: Eukaryota; Metazoa; Chordata; Mammalia; Rodentia; Cricetidae. The record is from RNAcentral.